GACGAACGCUGGCGGCAUGCCUAAUACAUGCAAGUCGAGCGAACAGAUGAAGUGCUUGCACUUCUGACGUUAGCGGCGAACGGGUGAGUAACACGUAAGGAAUCUACCUAUAAGCGGGGGAUAACAUUCGGAAACGGGUGCUAAUACCGCAUAAUAUCUUCUUCCGCAUGGAAGAAGAUUGAAAGACGGCUCUGCUGUCACUUAUAGAUGACCUUGCGGUGCAUUAGUUAGUUGGUGGGGUAACGGCCUACCAAGACGAUGAUGCAUAGCCGACCUGCGAGGGUGAUCGGCCACAUUGGGACUGAGACACGGCCCAAACUCCGACGGGAGGCAGCAGUAGGGAAUCUUCCGCAAUGGGCGAAAGCCUGACGGAGCAAUGCCGCGUGAGUGAAGAAGGCCUUCGGGUCGUAAAACUCUGUUAUAAGAGAAGAACAAAUUGUAGAGUAACUGCUACAGUCUUGACGGUAUCUUAUCAGAAGGCCACGGCUAACUACGUGCCAGCAGCCGCUGUAA
Molecule: ribosomal RNA, 513 nt
Filed under: uncultured bacterium
Lineage: Bacteria
Description: partial 16S ribosomal RNA
Rfam family: Bacterial small subunit ribosomal RNA
Source: RNAcentral